Oncorhynchus gorbuscha (pink salmon) is the source of this 1229-nucleotide long non-coding RNA. RefSeq lists it as uncharacterized. The record is from RefSeq and is a predicted model, not a curated record. The transcript has 3 exons. Lineage: Eukaryota; Metazoa; Chordata; Actinopteri; Salmoniformes; Salmonidae.
CAGAGCACUUUAAGCCCGUUCUGACAAAGUUGCGUCAUUUAUUUAGAAUGCCUUUCCAUUUGUCAGGAUCCUCGACAGGCAAACAUCUGCAUGGACAUAAAUGCUGUAGGACUGAGAGAGAAAUAGAGACACACUUCAGUUCCCUCAUCAGCAGUGAGAGCUUCAUCGAAAUGCAUGAGGUUAUAUCAGCUGUGUCGGUGAACCCCUCCCGCAUCUGAGCUGGCUACAUAGAGGGCACACACAGCAUGAUCAGAGGUGUGUGGUCACUUGGUCAGGUCAACAAGAAGUACUACUAAAGAGAUGCUUUACAUUGAAAUACCGAUAGAGAUGCAGUAGUCCCAGAGUUAAUGAUCCAAGAUAUGUUUUGAUGUGAGAGAGGAUGCCAACCCCCAGUCCCAUCAUCGCCACCUCACCCGCUUUUAAGAUAACCUUUGGGCCAACUAUAGACACUAUUAUGUAAAUGUGAUGAACUGAGAGAAUAUUAGGGUAGCACUGUGAUUCAUUAAUCAUAUGCUGCCUUCCCUGCUCCUAUGUCUUACUUCUUUCCCUUUCUGUCUUUUACACCUCUCUCACCGCCUCUUUCUCCCUCUGUUUUUAUAAUACACAACAUAUGUGCAUUGAAGUACAGAUUAAACUUGUAUUUAUAAUAUUACAAUUAUAAUAUUUAUAAUGCAUGUAUUUAUAACACUGAAUUAUGAACUUCUUUCAAAAAAAGUAUUUCAUUUGAUGAGAUACUACACCUGUCCUGUUUAGCAGAUCAAUGCAGAUGAAGGGCAUUAGAUACUGAGAUGAACUGGUUUUAGAGUAUUUACAUAAUGCAUAGGAAGUGUUGUGUACUGUUUUUUAAAAUUAUAUUUCUGUAUAUAUGAAUUACAAAUCAGCCUUUAACUAGUUAAAUCCUGUUUCUAGUCUAUUAGUUACAAUGUGUAACCAUUGACGUCCCAGGACCAAGAUUGGUAAACACUGUUAGCCCACGCUAGGCAUUACGCAUGGUGAUCUUAGGUUUGUUUGCGGCUGCUCGGCCAUGGAAACCCACUUCAUGAAGCUCCCAAUAAACAGUUAUUGUGCUGACAUUGUUUCCAGAGGCAGUUUGGAACUCGGUAGUGAGUGUCGCAACCGAGAACAUAGGAUUUUUACGUGCUAUGCGCUUCAUCACUCGUAGGUCCAGUUCUGUGAGCUGGUGCGACAUACCACUUCGUGACUGAGCAGUUGUUGCUCAUAAAUGAUUC